RNAcentral lists this unclassified non-coding RNA (203 nucleotides) under fungal sp. RNAcentral's name for it is "partial internal transcribed spacer region". The stretch from base 1 to 46 matches the Rfam family "Eukaryotic small subunit ribosomal RNA", at positions 1786 to 1831 of the family's 1831-position model. Lineage: Eukaryota; Fungi. The record is from RNAcentral.
AAGUCGUAACAAGGUUUCCGUAGGUGAACCUGCGGAAGGAUCAUCACGAGAGGGACGCCGCAAGGCGCACCACAACACUGUGUUGCCGAGCGAUGAGUGCAGCGCAAUGUGCUGCACACGUCUAUUGACACCAUGCAAACUGAAUCAGCCCUAAUAGCAACCAACAACAAACACAACUGUUAGCAACGGAUCACUUGGUUCUC